This 253-nucleotide ribosomal RNA is filed under the name uncultured bacterium. RNAcentral describes it as "partial 16S ribosomal RNA". It matches the Rfam family "Bacterial small subunit ribosomal RNA", at positions 524 to 776 of the family's 1533-position model. The record is from RNAcentral.
UACGUAGGGGGCGAGCGUUGUCCGGAGUUACUGGGCGUAAAGCGCACGCAGGCGGUCGCGUAAGAGUGCGGGGACAGUGGGCGGCUUAACUGCCCAAGGGUCGCACAGACUGCGUGACUGGAGGGCCAGAGAGGGACCUGGAAUUCCGGGUGGAGCGGUGAAAUGCGUAGAGAUCCGGAGGAACACCAAAGGCGAAGGCAGUGUCCUGGGGAGUACCUGACGCUCAGGUGCGAAAGCCAGGGGAGCGAACGGG